Molecule: ribosomal RNA, 89 nt
Filed under: Paramormyrops kingsleyae
Lineage: Eukaryota; Metazoa; Chordata; Actinopteri; Osteoglossiformes; Mormyridae
Source: RNAcentral
GUCAACAGCUCUGCAACCCCCUGGCCUCCGGUAGGCACUACUUGUACUUGGAUGGGUAACCAACUAGGAAAGCUGGGCUGCUGCUGGAA